GAACCUCAUCCUAACAUGAGCAAAGUCGAAGGCCCAAUUUUCUAAUGACCGGAUGGGGGGAGAGGCCCUUACAACGGCCCUUAUGUACCCCCUCAGCGUUGUUAGGAACAGGAGGAGAACCUCGUCCUAACAUGAGCAAAGUCGAAGGCCUAAUUUUCUAAAGAUCGGAUGGGGGAAGAGGCCCUCACAACAGUCCUUAUGUGCCCCCACAGCCUUGUCAGGAACAGGAGGAGAACCUCGCCCUGACACGAGCUGAAACCAAC
This 263-nucleotide long non-coding RNA is filed under the name Elaeis guineensis (African oil palm). Its description in RNAcentral is "long non-coding RNA (EGUI_LNC054468)". The record is from RNAcentral. Lineage: Eukaryota; Viridiplantae; Streptophyta; Magnoliopsida; Arecales; Arecaceae.